CUUUUUUGUACCAUGUCCUGCAACAUUCCCUCAGCUGAAUCUCUCGGGCAGAGAAAGAAUAUGUACCUGUGCCCCUAUAACAUGGCCUUGGGCAGCAGAAGGGUUUAUACAUCCCAUAUGGAGCUUUAUGACUUCAGUUUGAUACUAUGCUGGAACUUAGAAGCAUGCCUCAUGCAGUGUGUGCACCUUUUCCACUUGGCAUAUGCCUGGUUGGCUUCUCAGAGAGAGCAGUGUACUUCCUCCUCACCCACGGAAUGCUGUGCUGCUACCUUCGAUGCCAUCCUCAAACCCUUCUCUGAACAUGAACCCCGCAUUUCCUCAUAGACUUCUCAGGCCCUGUGAUAUUGGGGAUUACUCUGUAAAUGCAGCAGCUCCAGAAGGCAGAGGACACUCUACUC
RNAcentral lists this long non-coding RNA (398 nucleotides) under Anas platyrhynchos platyrhynchos (common mallard). RNAcentral's name for it is "lncRNA (ENSAPLG00000024032.1)". The record is from RNAcentral. Lineage: Eukaryota; Metazoa; Chordata; Aves; Anseriformes; Anatidae.